This 492-nucleotide ribosomal RNA is filed under the name uncultured bacterium. RNAcentral describes it as "partial 16S ribosomal RNA". It matches the Rfam family "Bacterial small subunit ribosomal RNA", at positions 29 to 507 of the family's 1533-position model. The record is from RNAcentral.
AGUGAACGCUGGCGGUAGGCCUAACACAUGCAAGUCGAACGGCAGCACAGUAAUAGCUUGCUCGUACGGUUGGCGAGUGGCGGACGGGUGAGGAAUACAUCGGAAUCUACUUUUUCGUGGGGGAUAACGGAGGGAAACUUACGCUAAUACCGCAUACGACCUACGGGUGAAAGCAGGGGAUCUUCGGACCUUGCGCGUUUGAAUGAGCCGAUUUCUGAUUACCUAUAUGGCGGGGUAAAGGCCCACCAAGGCGACGAUCCGUAGCUGGUCUGAGAGGAUGAUCCGCCACCAUGGAACUGGGACACGGUCCAGACUCCUACGGGAGCCAGCAGUGGGGAAUAUUGGAUAAUGGGCGCAAGCCUGAUCCAGCCAUACCGAGUGGGUGACGAAGGCCUUAGAGUUGUAAAGCCCUUUUGUUGGGAACGAAAAGCAGAAGGUUAAUACACCGCUGUUCUGACGGUACCCAAAGAAUAAGCACCGGCUAACUUCGUG